UUCAAUUGUAAAAUUUUAAUAUUCUUAAUUUAAUAAAUUCUACAUGUAUAUUCGUAGCUACACUAGAGUAUUUAUAUUCUUAAUUAAUAAAAAAUUGUUAGUAUCAUAAUUUUAAUUAAAAUAAUAUUUACUGAUUAAUUGGAUAUACACAUCCAAGUAAAACUUAACAUAUUAGCCCACUAAAGAAAAUAUAAAAAGAGAAAUAAAUUAGGGCAAUAUUUUGAAGUAUUAAACACCAUAAAUUAGAGAAAAAAAGGGAAAAAAAUGAAAAAUAGUGAAAAAAGAGCUUGUUAUAAAUUUGGAGUGCCUUAUCCAAAUCCUAAUACUGAUUGCUAAAGGAAAUUCAUUUGAUAAAUCUAAAAUGACAUAUAAAAUUAAAUGAUUUUAUUAAAGUAAAAUUAGAGAUGGUUGAUUCUAGUAAUAACUAUGGAUGAAGUAUUGAAGUUACAAUAAUUCUAAAAAAAAAAAUAAUAAGAUUAUGUAUUAAAUUAACACUCCUUGAACAAACAAGGGCCCAAGCCAAGUCCAUAACAAUAACAGCCCAAUGUUCAGCAUUCUUUUUUUUUUUUUUAGGAUACCACCAUCUCUCUGAAUUAUGCUUCCUUUGUCUGAUCGUCUCCCCUCCAGAAUUUAGUGAUUGUUUUUGCCGUUUUGGAUGCUUAUCAUCUAUAUCUGUCAUAUAUUCUUUAAUUUUUCUUAUGUCUUAUCAGCAAAUUGUUUAAAUUAUGUACCUUAAUGAUUUUUUAUGGUUUCCGCAUUUUUGUUUUCUUUCACAUUGAGCCCUUCAAUUGUUGAAGUUUUCUCAUGCUAAUGAGCUCCCUAAUCAUCUCUUUUGAAUCACACUGAAUUUUGGGUAGCUGGGUCUCUGUGUUUCCUGAUGGGUACUGCUGCUACUCAGUACCCAUAUGGAAUCACUGCACAUUCCUGUGGAAAAUUUGGUCACAAGUUGGACACUUCAAGCUCCAAGUUUCCUUAUAAAGUGGGAUUUUCAAGAAUUAACUUGUACCAAAGAUCUGCUUCCAUCACCAAUUCCAAGGUAUGUAAAAAAGUUUUCUACUUCAUUUAUUUUUUUAAAUUAUAUGCACCAAUAUGGUCUAUCUUCUUGCAGAAAAAAAUGCAAGGGGAAGUAAAGAAACUCUAUGUUUGUCGACUUUUGUAGGUCUUCUACUUUUUUUAGUUGAUAAUCUUCUAUUAAUGCCACAGUAAAGGCUUCAAAUUUCAUUUCACCUUAGUUUUAUGAGCAAGAAAUGCAAUUAAAGACGGAUAUGAUAAUCCUUAGUCCUCCAAUCAUUUGUAUUAUGAACGGAUUUUUCCUUUACUUUUUGAGUUUCUGUAAUGUUUAUGCUUGUGACUUGUGAGCUUAUGCUCUUGUGAAUUACUGCCUCAUACCCCCAUAUGGAGGAUAUAAUUCAGAAUUGGUCCAAUGCCUGAUGUGUGCAUGUACGUAUUUAGUUUUAGCUGCGGCUUUCGGCGUCUUACUGCACUCUGCAACUAAGGCACUGAAGUUUCGAUUAUUUGCAAUGGGGAAAGUCAAACGUUGAUUAAUUCAACAUUUUCCUUAUGGGGUAACCUUAAAAACUACUGAUAAUCGUUCAAAUAAAGUUUUGACGUUCUUGUAUUCAAGUAAACUAUUCAUUAGUCAGUAGAGAAUUUUGAAUUCUUACCUUUAAUUUAGUCAUGGACUAGUUUAUUGGAAAUAUUCAGGAUGAUGUUGCAAAUAAAUGUAUUGGGAUACUUGAGAGAAAAUAUCCAGAUUAUUUAGAUUGUAGAAACUGACAAUGCCUGAAUGAAGUAGUAGUGUUAUUUGCUGUUUUAAUGGGCAGGUGCUUUUGAUUUUUUUUUCCCCUUUUUUUUCUGGUAGGGAUUUGUUGGUCGAAUAUAUUCUGUGCCUGAUCUUGAUGAUAUCUUCUGGGAGAAAGUCCCUACACCCAUACUUGAUGUGGUUGAAAACCCUAUCCACUUAAAGAAUUUGACCCAUAAGGAACUGAAACAAUUGGCUGAUGAAAUACGAGCAGAAUUGUCUUCUAUAAUGUCAAGGACUCAAAAAUCUAUCAAGGCCAGUUUAGCAGUUGUGGAACUGACAGUUGCCAUUCAUCAUGUUUUUCAUGCACCAGUGGACAAGAUACUAUGGGAUGUUGGGGAACAGACAUAUGCGCAUAAAAUUCUCACAGGAAGACGGUCCCUUAUGCAUACACUGAAACAAAAGAAUGGUCUUUCUGGCUUUACAUCUCGGUCUGAGAGCGAAUAUGAUCCAUUUGGGGCUGGGCAUGGAUGCAAUAGUAUUUCUGCUGGGCUUGGGAUGGCAGUUGCACGUGAUAUGAAAGAGAAACGGGAACGUGUUGUUACAGUCAUCAGCAACGGGACAACUAUGGCUGGUCAGGUCUAUGAAGCGAUGAGCAAUGCAGGCUAUCUGGACUCAAAUAUGAUAGUCAUUUUAAAUGACAGCCAUCACUCUUUGCAUCCAAAGAUUGAAGAGGGUCCCAAGACUUCGAUCAAUGCUCUAUCUAGCACCCUAAGCAAGCUCCAGUCAAAUAAAUCAUUCCGGAAGCUUAGAGAAGUUGCAAAGGGUGUUACCAAAAGGAUUGGUAUGGGUAUGCAUGAAUUAGCAGCCAAAGUUGAUGAGUAUGCACGUGGUAUGAUGGGUCCUCUAGGAGCAACUCUCUUUGAAGAGCUCGGUUUGUAUUACAUAGGCCCUGUUGAUGGACACAACAUUGAAGACCUAGUUUGUGUUCUACAAGAAGUGGCAUCUCUGGAUUCUAUGGGUCCUGUCUUGGUACAUGUAAUAACAGAAGAAAAUCGAAAACCAGAAGAUAAGCAAAAGAGUGAGGCAUUGCAGAACCUGCAGGAAGGUUCAUUUGUGUCUGAUUCUUCUCUCUAUAGUAUUCAUACUAGAACAUAUAGUGAUUGCUUUGCGGAGGCUUUGGUCAUGGAGGCAGAGAAGGACAAAGAAAUUGUGAUUGUUCAUGCAGGAAUGGAAAUGGAAAAAGCUUUUCAACUAAUUCUGGAGAGAUUUCCAGAUAGGUUUUUUGAUGUGGGAAUGGCUGAGCAGCAUGCGGUUACAUUUUCUGCUGGUUUAUCUUGUGGGGGGUUGAAGCCAUUUUGCAUAAUUCCUUCUGCCUUUCUACAGAGAGCAUAUGACCAGGUUCUCUAUCUUUUUCUGUGUACAAGUCUUAUCUGCAAGUGUGGUAUUGUGUGCAAGCAUUAUGUCUAGACACUGUGGGUUAUUGUAUUACUAGUAAUUAUACAUGUUGACUUCAAUUGUGGAAUAACUAUCUUAAUUUUUCUAGGAUAUUUUCCUUUGCGGCUUCUACAGGUGGUUCAUGAUGUUGAUCGACAGAGGAUUCCAGUUCGUUUUGUCAUUACAAGUGCAGGAUUGGUAGGGUCUGAUGGUCCAAUGCAGUGUGGGGCAUUUGAUAUAACAUUCAUGUCAUGCUUACCAAACAUGAUUGUAAUGGCACCAUCUGAUGAGGAUGAGCUUGUGGACAUGGUGGCUACUGCAGUUAACAUUGAUGAUCGUCCAGUCUGCUUCCGUUAUCCAAGGGGUGCCAUUAUUGGGACAGAUCAUUAUGUGCGCAGUGGAAUUCCAAUUGAGGUUGGAAAGGGAAAAGUUCUUAUAGAGGGUAAAGAUGUUGCUUUGCUUGGGUAUGGGGCAAUGGUUCAGAACUGCCUCAAAGCUCGGCACCUUCUUUCAAAGCUUGGCAUUGAGGUAACUGUUGCUGAUGCAAGAUUCUGCAAACCUCUCGACAUGAAGCUUCUCAGACAACUAUGUGAAAAUCAUGCAUUUCUGGUCACAGUUGAGGAAGGCUCUGUUGGAGGAUUUGGAUCCCAUGUUGCACAGUUCAUGGCUCUUGAUGGACAACUUGAUGGUAGAGUUAAAUGGCGACCUAUCGUUUUACCAGACAGCUAUAUCGAACACGCAUUGCCAAAGGAACAGCUUACUCUUGCUGGGCUGACUGGGCACCAUAUUGCUGCAACAGUACUAAGACUGCUUGGUCGCACCCGCGAAGCUCUCCUUUUAAUGUGUUAGAAAUCUAUAUUUUCUCUGCUAUUAUCGCUUAAGAUGUUGAGCCUACAUUGCUUCACUGAUUUUUGUAAGUAAUUAGUUCAUAUGUGAAAUUAACACUAUAUCUGGCUUGUAAUGAUUGUAAUGAUUAACGCUGCAAUCUGAAUUUUCUUUUUAAAUGCAAG
Molecule: unclassified non-coding RNA, 4188 nt
Filed under: Hevea brasiliensis (rubber tree)
Lineage: Eukaryota; Viridiplantae; Streptophyta; Magnoliopsida; Malpighiales; Euphorbiaceae
Source: RNAcentral